GUGUGCAGUCUGAAGCUGCUCGUCUUAUUUAGUGAAACGAUUGCAAGUGAACUUGAAAGACACGCCUUCCAGUAACAGCGCAGCCAGUACACUGAAAACUCAGACUUACGCCUUCCGGUAACAGCGCAGCCAGUACACUGAAAACUCAGACUCAAGGAGAUGAUCAUAGUGCAGCGUUGUUUCCCUCCUUCUUUUACCCACUAGGCUGCUCCUCCAAGUUUCAAGGAGUCAAGUCUCAGUUUCAGCGGACACCCAUCUGCCCUCAGCGGCUGCCCACAGAAGUUGACUUGAUUCCUGACUUAGAAGCAGCUGUAAAAGUACAAUGCCUCCUAUUGCAGUCAGACACCCACCAAAGUGCCAAAGAAUUAAUGCUUUCGAACUGUGGUGCUGGAGAAGACUCUUGAGAAUCUUGGACAGCAAGAUCCAACCAGUCCAUCCUAAAGGAAAUCAGUCCUGAAUAUUCAUUGGAAGGACAGAUGCUGAAGCUGCAAUACUUCUGCCACCUGAUGCAAAGAGCUGACUCAUUUGAAAAGACCCUGAUGGGGGGAAAGAUUGAAGGCAGAGGAGAAGGGGUCAACAGAGGAUGAGAUGGUUGGAUGGCAUCACCAACUUGAUGGACAUGAGUUUAAGUAAACUCUGGGAGACGGUGAAGGGCAGGGAAGCCUGGCGUGCUGCAGUCCAUGGGGUCGCAAAGAGUCAGACACGACUGAGCGACUGAAUAAGAACAACACCCCACUCCAGCUGGAACUUUCCUCUCUGCUCUGGCUCAGGAGCUCACAGUGUUUUGUUGAGUUUGGUUUUGAUUUCUGAUCAUAAAGAGCAGAAGAAAGGUGGAAAAUAAGUGAUGGAAUGUGUAGGGGAAAUGAGAUCAGACGGAAGAGAAAAGCAAAGCUUAUGAAGAUAACGUAGGAGGAAUAACGGCAGGAGGUGGAAAGCCCGGGAGAAGGCGUACAGGAGACUCAGGAGAUGUUUCCGAGGACGUGGGAGACUCAGUGCAGAGUGUGGGGUGAGGACGUGACGGUGAAACAUUAACAACCACAGAACCCCCGAAGCCACACUGGGGCGUGAACACCGCUCUUCCGGGUCCGUCCUCAAUUUGGGCCCCCUCGGCCUGAGAUUCUCCGAGGUGGGGACCGC
RNAcentral lists this long non-coding RNA (1137 nucleotides) under Bos indicus x Bos taurus (hybrid cattle). RNAcentral describes it as "lncRNA (ENSBIXG00000008722.1)". Lineage: Eukaryota; Metazoa; Chordata; Mammalia; Artiodactyla; Bovidae. The record is from RNAcentral.